GCGGGGGUAGUGGGACCGCGACGGUGGCCGACCGGCCGUCGGACGGUAGUUCUGACGAAUCGCGCACGCGUUCUACACGCGUCCGGCCCGACGCAAGUCAACGUCGUAUCAUACGUCUACGCCAUAGUGCGGACGUGUGUGCGGCGCGUCUGGUGUCGCAGCCGUGCUGUCUCGGACUGUGCGCGUCUCUGUCUGCGAUGAU
RNAcentral lists this ribosomal RNA (202 nucleotides) under Spodoptera frugiperda (fall armyworm). RNAcentral's name for it is "partial large subunit ribosomal RNA". The record is from RNAcentral. Lineage: Eukaryota; Metazoa; Arthropoda; Insecta; Lepidoptera; Noctuidae.